CGGCGGACGGGUGAGUAACACGUGGAUAACCUACCUAUAAGACUGGGAUAACUUCGGGAAACCGGAGCUAAUACCGGAUAAUAUAUUGAACCGCAUGGUUCAAUAGUGAAAGACGGUUUUGCUGUCACUUAUAGAUGGAUCCGCGCCGCAUUAGCUAGUUGGUAAGGUAACGGCUUACCAAGGCGACGAUGCGUAGCCGACCUGAGAGGGUGACCGGCCACACUGGAACUGAGACACGGUCCAG
Molecule: ribosomal RNA, 244 nt
Filed under: uncultured Staphylococcus sp.
Lineage: Bacteria; Bacillati; Bacillota; Bacilli; Caryophanales; Staphylococcaceae
Description: partial 16S ribosomal RNA
Rfam family: Bacterial small subunit ribosomal RNA
Source: RNAcentral